This 1072-nucleotide long non-coding RNA is filed under the name Anser brachyrhynchus (Pink-footed goose). RNAcentral's name for it is "lncRNA (ENSABRG00000001433.1)". The record is from RNAcentral. Lineage: Eukaryota; Metazoa; Chordata; Aves; Anseriformes; Anatidae.
CCCAGACACAACAUCACAUCAGUUAAGUUUUAUCGUUUGGGCAGCUGAGCUAAUAACUCCAAAUAGCAAUGUAAAAAGACACUCAAUAUGGAUAAUACCUUCUGCUGCACUCCAUCAAUAUGGUACAUAUGCACAAGGCCAUCACCUUACUGAUGUAAUCAAUGGGUAAUUUGCAUAACUGAUUUCAGAGCAGACCCAACAGUCUAGUUAGUCAGGAUGCUAAAUGAAACAGAGUGGGCUGAAAGUAUUAAUUCACAGGAGUUCUCAGUUAACAGGAAGAUUUUUGUAGCUAAUCAUAGCAUAAAAUGAUAAUGAAAAGAACCAGCAAUCUUCUCCAUACAUUUUAUAUGUAAAUAAUUUUUUAAAACAUGAAAAGGAAAGGACCUAAAUAAUGAACUAUGUUUAUCCUUUUGUGUCCAGUAUCUAAGUAGCUAUAGAAGAUGGCAUUUCUGUUUCUGUCACCCUCACAUCUGGGCAAAGAAUGUGAAAACAGAAGACAUUAAUUGGAAACUGAAGUUAGACAAUUAAAACCGGAAAUGAAAGCACAUUUUAAAACAUGGUGACAGAGACAGGUAGUAAAAUCUUCACUGUGACUGUCUUUGAAUCAACAUCAAUUUGAGACAAAUUACUGGGUGGGAAAAUCAAGUUGCUGAAUGACUUUCUGCUGAUGCACAGGUUGGACUGGAGGAGCAGCAUGUCUCCUUUUGGCUCUCAGAGUAGACAGGCCUAGGGGUGGCAUCUGGGUAGCAUCAAGAGCCUCAUAUGAGUUGAAGCAGACAAUUCUUGCUUGGAUGCCUAGAGAAGAGAAUUUCCAGUUUUUCACUGAAUUAAUGGCAGAUGAAUUUUUCCUUCUGUGCUUGCAUUAAUUAUUUCUUUCAUUUUGGUAAGAUUGUUCACUUAAGCAAAGCAAGGAAAAUUUGAGUUAUGGUGUACCAACUGAAGGUCCAAAUGAAUGACUCAGAAUUAUUAUAUCAUCAACAGAGCGAUGGUUAUUGAUCAGAUGCUCUCUGUCAACUGUAUGGCACAUGAAAUGAACUGUAUCAUAAUAAUUUUAAGUUGGGAAGAAGCCUGA